GCCCCUAUAGCACAGCGGUAGUGCAGCAGUUUUGUAAACUGAAGGUCGGGAGUUCAAAUCUCUCUGGGGGCACCA
RNAcentral lists this transfer RNA (75 nucleotides) under Gemmobacter fulvus. RNAcentral's name for it is "tRNA-Thr". It matches the Rfam family "tRNA". Rfam says of the family: Transfer RNA (tRNA) molecules are approximately 80 nucleotides in length. The record is from RNAcentral. Lineage: Bacteria; Pseudomonadati; Pseudomonadota; Alphaproteobacteria; Rhodobacterales; Paracoccaceae.